Molecule: ribosomal RNA, 2239 nt
Filed under: Salmonella enterica subsp. enterica serovar Muenchen
Lineage: Bacteria; Pseudomonadati; Pseudomonadota; Gammaproteobacteria; Enterobacterales; Enterobacteriaceae
Description: partial 23S ribosomal RNA
Rfam family: Bacterial large subunit ribosomal RNA
Source: RNAcentral
CGUAGGGAAACCGAGUCUUAACCGGGCGUUAAGUUGCAGGGUAUAGACCCGAAACCCGGUGAUCUAGCCAUGGGCAGGUUGAAGGUUGGGUAACACUAACUGGAGGACCGAACCGACUAAUGUUGAAAAAUUAGCGGAUGACCUGUGGCUGGGGGUGAAAGGCCAAUCAAACCGGGAGAUAGCUGGUUCUCCCCGAAAGCUAUUUAGGUAGCGCCUCGUGAAUUCAUCUCCGGGGGUAGAGCACUGUUUCGGCUAGGGGGCCAUCCCGGCUUACCAACCCGAUGCAAACUGCGAAUACCGGAGAAUGUUAUCACGGGAGACACACGGCGGGUGCUAACGUCCGUCGUGAAGAGGGAAACAACCCAGACCGCCAGCUAAGGUCCCAAAGUCAUGGUUAAGUGGGAAACGAUGUGGGAAGGCCCAGACAGCCAGGAUGUUGGCUUAGAAGCAGCCAUCAUUUAAAGAAAGCGUAAUAGCUCACUGGUCGAGUCGGCCUGCGCGGAAGAUGUAACGGGGCUAAACCAUGCACCGAAGCUGCGGCAGCGAACGUAUCACCCAAGACAACUUUGCGGAGUUGACGAUUGACGGAGCGAAGCGACGUCAAAGCGUUCAUUAAAGUCGAGUUGGCUUAGGGAUACGUUCGUUGGGUAGGGGAGCGUUCUGUAAGCCUGUGAAGGUGGCCUGUGAGGGUUGCUGGAGGUAUCAGAAGUGCGAAUGCUGACAUAAGUAACGAUAAAGCGGGUGAAAAGCCCGCUCGCCGGAAGACCAAGGGUUCCUGUCCAACGUUAAUCGGGGCAGGGUGAGUCGACCCCUAAGGCGAGGCCGAAAGGCGUAGUCGAUGGGAAACGGGUUAAUAUUCCCGUACUUGGUGUUACUGCGAAGGGGGGACGGAGAAGGCUAUGUUGGCCGGGCGACGGUUGUCCCGGUUUAAGCGUGUAGGUGUGUGUUCCAGGUAAAUCCGGUUCACUUUAACACUGAGGCGUGACGACGAGGCACUACGGUGCUGAAGCAACAAAUGCCCUGCUUCCAGGAAAAGCCUCUAAGCAUCAGGUAACAUCAAAUCGUACCCCAAACCGACACAGGUGGUCAGGUAGAGAAUACCAAGGCGCUUGAGAGAACUCGGGUGAAGGAACUAGGCAAAAUGGUGCCGUAACUUCGGGAGAAGGCACGCUGACACGUAGGUGAAGUGAUUUACUCAUGGAGCUGAAGUCAGUCGAAGAUACCAGCUGGCUGCAACUGUUUAUUAAAAACACAGCACUGUGCAAACACGAAAGUGGACGUAUACGGUGUGACGCCUGCCCGGUGCCGGAAGGUUAAUUGAUGGGGUCAGCGCAAGCGAAGCUCCUGAUCGAAGCCCCGGUAAACGGCGGCCGUAACUAUAACGGUCCUAAGGUAGCGAAAUUCCUUGUCGGGUAAGUUCCGACCUGCACGAAUGGCGUAAUGAUGGCCAGGCUGUCUCCACCCGAGACUCAGUGAAAUUGAACUCGCUGUGAAGAUGCAGUGUACCCGCGGCAAGACGGAAAGACCCCGUGAACCUUUACUAUAGCUUGACACUGAACAUUGAGCCUUGAUGUGUAGGAUAGGUGGGAGGCUUUGAAGCGUGGACGCCAGUCUGCGUGGAGCCGACCUUGAAAUACCACCCUUUAAUGUUUGAUGUUCUAACGUGGACCCGUAAUCCGGGUUGCGGACAGUGUCUGGUGGGUAGUUUGACUGGGGCGGUCUCCUCCUAAAGAGUAACGGAGGAGCACGAAGGUUGGCUAAUCCUGGUCGGACAUCAGGAGGUUAGUGCAAUGGCAUAAGCCAGCUUGACUGCGAGCGUGACGGCGCGAGCAGGUGCGAAAGCAGGUCAUAGUGAUCCGGUGGUUCUGAAUGGAAGGGCCAUCGCUCAACGGAUAAAAGGUACUCCGGGGAUAACAGGCUGAUACCGCCCAAGAGUUCAUAUCGACGGCGGUGUUUGGCACCUCGAUGUCGGCUCAUCACAUCCUGGGGCUGAAGUAGGUCCCAAGGGUAUGGCUGUUCGCCAUUUAAAGUGGUACGCGAGCUGGGUUUAGAACGUCGUGAGACAGUUCGGUCCCUAUCUGCCGUGGGCGCUGGAGAACUGAGGGGGGCUGCUCCUAGUACGAGAGGACCGGAGUGGACGCAUCACUGGUGUUCGGGUUGUCAUGCCAAUGGCACUGCCCGGUAGCUAAAUGCGGAAGAGAUAAGUGCUGAAAGCAUCUAAGCACGAAACUUGCCCCGA